AUCCAGCUGACGAGUCUCAAAUAGGACGAGAUGUGCGGUGUCCUGGAU
RNAcentral lists this non-coding RNA (48 nucleotides) under Trichobilharzia regenti. Lineage: Eukaryota; Metazoa; Platyhelminthes; Trematoda; Strigeidida; Schistosomatidae. The record is from RNAcentral.